This 253-nucleotide ribosomal RNA is filed under the name uncultured bacterium. RNAcentral describes it as "partial 16S ribosomal RNA". It matches the Rfam family "Bacterial small subunit ribosomal RNA", at positions 524 to 776 of the family's 1533-position model. The record is from RNAcentral.
UACGUAGGGGGCAAGCGUUGUCCGGAUUUAUUGGGCGUAAAGAGCGUGUAGGCGGCUUCACAGGUCUGCUGUGAAAACUCGAGGCUCAACCUCGAGAUGUCGGUGGAAACCGUGUGGCUAGAGUCCGGAAGAGGAGAGUGGAAUUCCCGGUGUAGCGGUGAAAUGCGCAGAUAUCGGGAAGAACACCAGUGGCGAAGGCGAGUCUCUGGGAUGAUGCUGACGCUGAGGCGCGAAAGCCAGGGGAGCAAACGGG